GCCAGGGUGGUGCAGUGGUUUGGAUGUUGGACGAGGAUUCCUGGGACCAGGGUUCGAAUCCCCACUCAGCCG
This 72-nucleotide transfer RNA is filed under the name Phrynosoma platyrhinos (Desert horned lizard). Its description in RNAcentral is "tRNA-OTHER". The record is from RNAcentral. Lineage: Eukaryota; Metazoa; Chordata; Lepidosauria; Squamata; Phrynosomatidae.